Hirundo rustica (Barn swallow) is the source of this 5601-nucleotide long non-coding RNA. RefSeq lists it as uncharacterized. The transcript is spliced from 4 exons. NCBI's taxonomy places the organism in Eukaryota, Metazoa, Chordata, Aves, Passeriformes, Hirundinidae. The record is from RefSeq and is a predicted model, not a curated record.
CCAGGCCCCUGGGGGCGAGGCUCACUUAUUUUCUUCGCCUUCACGGCCGCCGGGGCUUCUGGGGUCCCCCCUCCCCUGAGGGCGCUGUGUUGGGUCAUGGGUGGGGGGGUGUCAGAAACUCCCCCUGAUCCCCCACAAGUCCCUCGGGCCCUCCCGCCUCCCAUUGGCCGCCGGUUCCGCGCCAGUUUACUGACUGCCUGGACUACAAGCCCCGAAACACCGCGGGGCCCCGUAGAACGCCAUUGGAGCCGGGACUGCGGUUCCCGUCAUGCCCCGCGGCCCCUGAGAGCCCGUCAGAGCCGGGCCUGUUCCCUCACUGCUGUCCCGGCUGCUCCCGAAGUGCUUCCCUGAACCGUAAGUGCCCCUCGGGGCCCUGUAAGUACUCCUAGUUUCUCUCUCCUGACCCUCAAGUGCCCCUCAGGAUCCCUAAGUUCGCCCGCCCCCCCCGCGUCCCCUACUUGGCCUCAAAAUGUGUCCCCUCGGACCCCCAAGUGCUCUCCAGCUGCCUCCCGGACCCCCAAGUGCCUCUCCAGGCCCGUUAGUGAUCCUGCAGGCACCCCCUAACUGCCUCCCAAGAGCCCUUCAAGUGUCUCCUGGGAACUGGCGUGAUGACGACGAUGUAGAGAAAGUCCCUGACCCUAUCGCAGUAUCAGCAACAGUUCAGCCUUUAAUUGAAAUUUGAAUCAAAGCUGCAAUUGCCAAUGUGGGGGAUGGACAAGCCAGGAAAUGGCAGGAUAAACAUUUCCUACAUGUUGCACACAUCAAAAAUUUCAUGGGAGUCGGGAACGGAGUCCGUGUGGUGAACUUCCCUGCCAGGUGGAGAUCAAAUCCUGUCAGGUGCAGAAGAGACUUUGGGGGCCUGGACUAUACACUCCUAUAAACAUCCCCCCCCAAAGCCCAGAGACCCCCCCUCCAUCCCCUGCAGACUCCCCACUAGAUCCCAAAUACCCUUAGUGUCUUCUCAAAACGCUCCAAAGUCCCCUGCCCUGAACACCCUAUAAACCCUCUGGACCCUCCCAAAUUUCCCUCUGAAGCCUCCUGAGGCCAUCUAAAAUAACCCAUAGAUGUGCCCAAAUCCACAGCACUCCCCCACACCCCCCAAAAAAGGGCUACCUCAGGUGGCCACAACUAGUCAUGGACUGCCUGAGCCACUUUUUGGGCUGAUACGUAUGUAGGUAUGGAUAUAAUAGAGAUAUAAAAUACAGUAUAGAAAGGGGCCUCCAGGAGAGCUGGGAGGGUCUUUGUCAGAGGACAGGAUGGAGGGUGAGGGCUAGAUGGGAUAUUGGGAAGAAAUUCCUGCCUGUGAGGGUGGUGAGACCCUGGCACAGGUUGUCCAGAGAAGCUGCAGCUGCUCCAUCUCUGGAAGUGUCCAAGGCCAGUUUGGACAGGGCUUGGAGCAACCUGGGAUAGUGGAAGAUGUCCCUGCCCGUGGCAGGGGAUGGAUCAAGAUGACCUUUGAAGUCCCAUCCAACCCAAACCAGCCUGGGGUUCUAAAAGUGGGGGAGGUUUGGGGUGGGUGACCUUGGCUGACCUCAGGCGCUCCCCCAGGCUGCUCCAUCACUCCCGCUUCAAAGAGACAGAAAGAGAAAACCUGAGGGAAAAGCUCCUGGUGGGGUGUGAGUCCCUCAGAAACUGCUCCAGGUCCUUUUCCAUGGGGUGAGUCCCUCAGGUAGAGGCACUUGGGGCACAGAGGCAAACGUGAGGCAAUCUGCUUCACUCUGUUCUUCUCCAGGGCUGCAGGGGAAUCUCUGCUCUGGCACCUGCAGCACCUCCUCACCUGGGGAGCUGCUCAGAGAGGAGGGACAACAGCAGUGAAAGGGACUUGGCACCAAAGGAGGCAUCAGCAGAGCAAGAAACAUUUCCCAAGCUCUCGCUGGUGUCAGGUGAACUCAAACGUGAGUUCAGGUGGCUUUGGUUUGAACCAGAAAGUGAAUUUAAGACCCUGUGGGAUGCGGCAGGACAGGUGAGGCUCCUCUCUGCCCACCUUUUCCACCUGCUGAGUCCUUCCGAAGGCUGCCAGGGGAGCUUGGACCCACUUCCUUCCCCUCCUCCAUCCAGGAACUGUCCUGUCGUGGAAGGCAAUCAGAUCAGUUCUGUGAUGUAAUUUUAUGGUAAGAGUCCAGUGAGGAACCUUCUCCCUGCUGUUCUUGCUGUUUAACUCAUGCUUUUCUUCCUGCUUUAUUCUCUGUUGCUCUGUCCUGCUCCUUGUGCCAUCACUCCUCUCUCUAUCCCCAUCCUGCUCCCCGUGCCAUCAUUUCCCCUUGUAACUGGCAGAAUUUGCUUUCCCCCAAUUGUCUGUAUUCUGUCAUCACUUGUGAGUUGCUCCUGCUUUCACAGAAUCAGAAAAGCAAUUAGGGCGGAAGGGACCAGUGGGGUCAUCUAGUCAACCUCCCUGCUCAGGCAGGAUCAUCCUGGGGCACAUGGCACAGGACUGUGUCCAGACCUACGGUCCCCUGUAGAUCCAGAUGAGGUUCAGUGCGCGCAGACCAUGUGGUGGAAGUUCCUACUGAGGUGCCGUCACCAUAUAUCAACUCAUUGGCAGUGAUGUCAUGGAAAGGAGGAAAACAAAGAGUGGAUAAUUUGGUUACCAAACUCUGGCAAUAUGAAGAAAGUAGCGCUUUCACUCUAUAGGCCUACAUCUGUGGAAAGGACCUCCAGCAAUUUAAAGGAGACUACCAGCAAUUUAAAGUGCCCCACCAGUACAGACCAGAGUCUAGAGGGAGCAGGUGCCCUCUGCUCAGGAGAGAGGGGGCACACUACGAGGGAACCUGUAGUUUUACCUGCCUGACCAUGGUGAAGACAUGAGGAAGUGGGAAGGAAAACCCAGCUCUGCCUUGCUGCCCCAGGUAUUAUCGCCGACGCCGGAACUUCUGUGCUGGCUCAGAUUUCCGCAACGGACGGUUCUGAGUGGGACACGUCCCCCCGAGCCGAGCUACGGGCGGCGCGUCUCAGAGCUUGUUUGGCUCUACGGCUGGAAUGUCUUUGCUUGGCGCAAGCUGGGAGCAAGGAUUGUGAGAGAGGUCUUCCUUCUACGAUCCAAACAGAUUGAUUCUGCCGAAUUCCCAGCGACAGACAGACCCCGAACGCCGGGCGCAGGAGUUUUUAAACGGACAGGAUCCAAGGGGCAAGUAGCGACUUCCGGCCAAUGGGGGAAGGAGGGAGGAGGAGGGGGAAACACGGGAGAGACUCAAACUAAUGGAAAGCCAGUAAAAGGAAAACAAAUUAUAAGGAUAAAUGAUAUGUCAGAGAUUGGUAGAUACUUCAGGAAAAAGGGCUGGGGUCUGACAGAACUGCCAGCUCUGGGAGAGCAGACAGCUUUUGGGACAAAACCCCAGAUACAGACUAAACAAGGGGGUACAGAACUGUCCCGUAACACUACAACUUGAACAGACGGCAGGGUAUGUGAGUUGAGAGGGAAAAUAAACCACAACAGAAAAGUUUUCAAGGAAAAAUGCAAUUCAGUUUCCACCGGGCAAGUCCUCAGGCAGAAUUAAAGGGCUGAUGUUACUUCUCACCCUCUGGAAGGGACCUGCAGGUCCUGUUGACAAGAAGCGAGCAACGAGUACCGUGAUCAGAGCCAGAGGGGCCCUGGCUCCAGCCAGGUGUGGGAAAAGGACAGUGGGGCCUAUUGCACUGUGUGGAUCCCUGGCCUGGCACAGCAGAGCCACAGGAGCACGAGGCUUUAGGUGACAGUGGUGCACAAUGUACCCUGAUGCCGUCAUGCAGGGGCAGAAUCCAUCCCUGUUUCUGGGGUGACAGGGGGAUCCCAACAGGGACUGUGCUGGAAGCUGAAGUGCUCCUGACAGGGCAUGACUGGCAGAAAAAUUCCUUUGUCAUUGGCCUGGACCCUGCGUGUAUCCUUGGCAUAAAUCACCUCAGGAGAGGUAUUUCAAGGACCCAAAAGGACAUCACUGGACUUUGGGAGAGCUGCUGUGGAGACAGAGGAAAUUAAGACAGCUGAAUCCCUUGCUUGUGUGACAAAUUAAACUAUGAUUUGUGUUAGAGAAAAAUAUAUAUCAUGAUGGGAUUGUGACGUGGGACCAAUACAAAGAUAAAUUUUGAGAAACUGUUAGGUGAAACUAAAGGAAGGAUAACUGAACAAAAUGUUGUGGUUACUAAGCAGAAUGGUUAAGAAAAGAUGUAACUAUAUAAAACUGCAAGCAAGGCAAAACUGCCAUGAAAAGGAACCAGAGGUCAGCAAAGGGUGAAGGAUAAAGACUCCGACCCCCCCCGCCCCCCCCCAGCGACCACCAGAAACAAUGAAAACUAGAAACUGGAUGUCACAAUGAAGAAUAGAAACUAAACCUCAUAAUGGGGAAUAGAAACUGGGAGGGGAUGACUAACGUGAACCUGGAUAAAUACCUGUAAAAUUAACAUUUGGUGUGCAUGUUGGUAGAGCGGUGAUUCCCCUGCACCCAGCACUGUCUUGCCCGCUUUCUGCCAAACACAAAAUUAAUAAAUUGCCUAAUUUGAAAAUGGAAUAAAGGAGUACGUCUCCUCAUUUAUAACACUUGGUCUUUCAGAGGGUCUUUCUGCCGUGGGACUGCUGAGGGUUGAAGAACAGCAGGUGCUGAUGGCCAGCACAACAGUGUCCCACUGGCAACAUGGCACUGACUGGGACUUCAGCACCCCGUCCACGAGCUGAUCCGUGAACCGGAGAGCUGGGUGUGCUCAGCAAGACUUGCAUACCCUUCAGCAGACCCACAUGGCCCCUGCCCGAGUCCCAUGGACAGUGGACACUGACAGUGGACUGUCAUGGCCUGAAUGACGCCCCACCAUGGCUUAGUGCUGCCAUGCUGCACAUGUUGGAACUUCAGUAUGAGCUGGAAUCCGAGACAGCAAAGUGGUGCCGCCAUAGACAUAGUCAAUGCCUUAUUUUCUCUUCCUCUGUCAGCAUAUUCCCCGCUCGGGGGUCCCCUCUUUGGGCCCCCUGCUCUGAGGCUGUCCAAAGUGGGGCCUUAGCCUCCCUGUGGCCCCCUCCCCACCCAAGUGGGCUUAGUGGCCACCUUGCGUAUUGCCUCCUUCAGGUCCUGGGGUCCCUGGAGGGUCCCUGAGGAACACAGGACCACUAGACCAGGAACACAGGACCACCACCAGCUGGCCACAGAGUCCAGGCACCUCCUGCCUCACGGCACAAACAUUGGGGGAUGGUGGAUAAGGGGGAAGGGAAUGGAAGUUCGUUUUCGAGAGAUUGUUCCCCAAGCAAGGCCUGAUGAGCUUGACAUUUCAAUGGACUGGGAGCUGCCAGAGGAUGCUCAAGAGAUAAGUGACGGUCAACACCCAAACAUCCUUCCUGAUGUGUCAGAGACACCUGGUCUGGGAAGAGAUCAAUAAGAGAACAAAGAAUGAGGACCUAAUUAGCAUUGAAGGCAAAGUGUUCAAUAACCAAUAGGAAACCAAAUACAAAGAACUGUGUAACUUGUGAUCAAUGAACAUUGAACCAAUGCAUUUUUCUGGGUUUUGACUGUGUAAAUAUGUAAAAAAUCUAGUAAAUAGCCAUGUGUGAUGGAAUGGUGUUUUCUGCACAAUCCAAGCAAUAUGUGGAUGAAAAUAUUUUUGUUGCAUAUUCUGGCCAGAACAACAUCCUGGCCAGAAUAAAGU